GAUGAACGCUGGCGGCGUGCCUAACACAUGCAAGUCGAGCGAUUUACUUCGGUAAAGAGCGGCGGACGGGUGAGUAACGCGUGGGUAACCUGCCCUAUACACACGGAUAACAUACCGAAAGGUAUGCUAAUACGAGAUAAUAUAAGAAAUUCGCAUGGAUUUCUUAUCAAAGCUUUUGCGGUAUAGGAUGGACCCGCGUCUGAUUAGCUAGUUGGUAAGGUAACGGCUUACCAAGGCGACGAUCAGUAGCCGACCUGAGAGGGUGAUCGGCCACAUUGGAACUGAGACACGGUCCAAACUCCUACGGGAGGCAGCAGUGGGGAAUAUUGCACAAUGGGCGAAAGCCUGAUGCAGCAACGCCGCGUGAGCGAUGAAGGCCUUCGGGUCGUAAAGCUCUGUCCUCAAGGAAGAUAAUGACGGUACUUGAGGAGGAAGCCCCGGCUAACUACGUGCCAGCAGCCGCGGUAAUACGUAGGGGGCUAGCGUUAUCCGGAAUUACUGGGCGUAAAGGGUGCGUAGGUGGUUUCUUAAGUCAGAGGUGAAAGGCUACGGCUCAACCGUAGUAAGCCUUUGAAACUGAGAAACUUGAGUGCAGGAGAGGAGAGUAGAAUUCCUAGUGUAGCGGUGAAAUGCGUAGAUAUUAGGAGGAAUACCAGUUGCGAAGGCGGCUCUCUGGACUGUAACUGACACUGAGGCACGAAAGCGUGGGGAGCAAACAGGAUUAGAUACCCUGGUAGUCCACGCCGUAAACGAUGAGUACUAGCUGUCGGAGGUUACCCCCUUCGGUGGCGCAGCUAACGCAUUAAGUACUCCGCCUGGGAAGUACGCUCGCAAGAGUGAAACUCAAAGGAAUUGACGGGGACCCGCACAAGUAGCGGAGCAUGUGGUUUAAUUCGAAGCAACGCGAAGAACCUUACCUAAGCUUGACAUCCUUCUGACCUCUCCCUAAUCGGAGAUUUCCCUUCGGGGACAGAAGUGACAGGUGGUGCAUGGUUGUCGUCAGCUCGUGUCGUGAGAUGUUGGGUUAAGUCCCGCAACGAGCGCAACCCUUGCCUUUAGUUGCCAGCAUUAAGUUGGGCACUCUAGAGGGACUGCCAGGGAUAACCUGGAGGAAGGUGGGGAUGACGUCAAAUCAUCAUGCCCCUUAUGCUUAGGGCUACACACGUGCUACAAUGGGUGGUACAGAGGGCAGCCAAGUCGUGAGGCGGAGCUAAUCCCUUAAAGCCAUUCUCAGUUCGGAUUGUAGGCUGAAACUCGCCUACAUGAAGCUGGAGUUACUAGUAAUCGCAGAUCAGAAUGCUGCGGUGAAUGCGUUCCCGGGUCUUGUACACACCGCCCGUCACACCAUGGGAGUUGGGGGCGCCCGAAGCCGGUUAGCUAACCUUUUGGAAGCGGCCGUCGAAGGUGAAACCAAUAACUGGGGUGAAGUCGUAACAAGGUAGCCGUAUCGGAAGGUGCGGCUGGAUCACCUCCUUUCUAAGGAGAAUUGCCUACUGUUUAAUUUUGAGGGUUCUUAAAAUCCUUAAAAAACAUAUUGACAAAAAUCGACAAAGUUAUUAUAAUAUAACAUGUUGAAAAUAACAUGGGGGUGUAGCUCAGCUGGGAGAGCACUUGCCUUGCACGCAAGGGGUCAGGAGUUCGAUCCUCCUCAUCUCCACCAUUAGUACUUAAAUGUACUGUUAGUACUUUGAAAACUGCAUAACAUUUAGUGAUAUGACAUCAUUUAAUUAUAUAUGGACAAGAAAAGUCCUUAAAAUUACAAACUUUAAUAACUGGUCAAGUUAUUAAGGGUGCAGGGCGGAUGCCUUGGCACUAGGAGCCGAUGAAGGACGUGAUAAGCUGCGAUAAGCUUCGGGGAGUUGCACGUAAACUUUGAUCCGAAGAUUUCCGAAUGAGGAAACUCACUUAGAGUAAUGUCUAAGUAUCGUUAAGUGAAUACAUAGCUUAGCGAGGGGAACCCGGGGAACUGAAACAUCUAAGUACCUGGAGGAAGAGAAAGAAAAAUCGAUUCCGUAAGUAGCGGCGAGCGAACGCGGAACAGGCCAAACCAAUGAAGUUUACUUCGUUGGGGUUGCGGACAUGUCAUUAACGAAGAGGUAUCGUAAGUGAAGAGAGUUGGAAAGCUCCGCUAUAAAAGGUAAUAGCCCUGUAGCUGAAACGAGAAGACUUUAGAUAUGAUCCAGAGUACCACGGGACACGUGAAACCCUGUGGGAAGCAGGAGGGACCAUCCUCCAAGCCUAAAUACUACCUAGUGACCGAUAGCGCAU
RNAcentral lists this ribosomal RNA (2268 nucleotides) under uncultured Intestinibacter sp. RNAcentral describes it as "partial contains 16S ribosomal RNA, 16S-23S ribosomal RNA intergenic spacer, and 23S ribosomal RNA". The stretch from base 1 to 1476 matches the Rfam family "Bacterial small subunit ribosomal RNA". The record is from RNAcentral. Lineage: Bacteria; Bacillati; Bacillota; Clostridia; Peptostreptococcales; Peptostreptococcaceae.